AGUAACGUGUGGGCAACCUGCCCUGCACUGGGGAAUAAUCAUUGGAAACGAUGACUAAUACCGCAUACGGUUCCUGGGAGGCAUCUUCUGGGAAAGAAAGGAUUUAUUCGGUGCAGGAUGGGCCCGCAUCUGAUUAGCUAGUUGGUGAGAUAACAGCCCACCAAGGCGACGAUCAGUAGCCGACCUGAGAGGGUGACCGGCCACAUUGGGACUGAGACACGGCCCAAACUCCUACGGAAGGCAGCAG
RNAcentral lists this ribosomal RNA (247 nucleotides) under uncultured bacterium. RNAcentral's name for it is "partial 16S ribosomal RNA". It matches the Rfam family "Bacterial small subunit ribosomal RNA", at positions 109 to 354 of the family's 1533-position model. The record is from RNAcentral.